UCGGGAAUUUUGGGCAAUGGGCGAAAGCCUGACCCAGCAACGCCGCGUGAAGGAUGAAGUAUUUCGGUAUGUAAACUUCGAAAGAAUAGGAAGAAUAAAUGACGGUACUAUUUAUAAGGUCCGGCUAACUACGUGCCAGCAGCCGCGGUAAUACGUAGGGACCAAGCGUUGUUCGGAUUUACUGGGCGUAAAGGGCGCGUAGGCGGCAAUUCAAGUCAUCUGUGAAAUCUCCGGGCUUAACUCGGAACGGUCAGAUGAUACUGCUUUGCUAGAGUGCAGAAGGGGCAAUCGGAAUUCUUGGUGUAGCGGUGAAAUGCGUAGAUAUCAAGAGGAACACCUGAGGUGAAGACGGGUUGCUGGGCUGACACUGACGCUGAGGCGCGAAAGCCAGGGGGAGCAAACGGGGAUUAGAU
This 413-nucleotide ribosomal RNA is filed under the name uncultured bacterium. RNAcentral's name for it is "bacterial SSU rRNA". It matches the Rfam family "Bacterial small subunit ribosomal RNA", at positions 355 to 783 of the family's 1533-position model. The record is from RNAcentral.